Molecule: ribosomal RNA, 301 nt
Filed under: uncultured bacterium
Lineage: Bacteria
Description: partial 16S ribosomal RNA
Rfam family: Bacterial small subunit ribosomal RNA
Source: RNAcentral
CAGCCGCCGCGGUAAUCCUAAGGGUGCAAGCGUUAAUCGGAAUUACUGGGCGUAAAGCGUGCGUAGGUGGUGGUUUAAGUCCGUUGUGAAAGCCCUGGGCUCAACCUGGGAAUUGCAGUGGAUACUGGGUCACUAGAGUGUGGUAGAGGAUAGUGGAAUUUCCGGUGUAGCAGUGAAAUGCGUAGAGAUCGGAAGGAACAUCUGUGGCGAAGGCGACUAUCUGGGCCAACACUGACACUGAGGCACGAAAGCGUGGGGAGCAAACAGGAUUAGAUACCCGAGUAGUCCCUGUCUCUUAUAC